Molecule: ribosomal RNA, 406 nt
Filed under: uncultured bacterium
Lineage: Bacteria
Description: partial 16S ribosomal RNA
Rfam family: Bacterial small subunit ribosomal RNA
Source: RNAcentral
AUUGAACGCUGGCGGCAUGCCUUACACAUGCAAGUCGAACGAGUGGCGAACGGGUGAGUAAUACAUCGGAACGUGCCCUGUAGUGGGGGAUAACUAGUCGAAAGACUAGCUAAUACCGCAUACUAUAGGAGCGGCCGAUGUCUGAUUAGCUAGUUGGUGGGGUAAAGGCCUACCAAGGCGACGAUCAGUAGCUGGUCUGAGAGGACGAUCAGCCACACUGGGACUGAGACACGGCCCAGACUCCUACGGGAGGCAGCAGUGGGGAAUUUUGGACAAUGGGGGCAACCCUGAUCCAGCCAUGCCGCGUGUAUGAAGAAGGCCUUCGGGUUGUAAAGUACUUUCAGCGGGGAGGCGUUACCCGCAGAAGAAGCACCGGCUAACUCCGUGCCAGCCGCCGCGGUAAUUC